This 593-nucleotide long non-coding RNA is filed under the name Bos indicus x Bos taurus (hybrid cattle). Its description in RNAcentral is "lncRNA (ENSBIXG00000019712.1)". The record is from RNAcentral. Lineage: Eukaryota; Metazoa; Chordata; Mammalia; Artiodactyla; Bovidae.
GACAGUUUGUUUUGCUCAGUCUACUGAUCUAAUUAUUCAUCUAAUCUAAAAAAUACCUUCACAGCAACAUCCAAAUGUGUUUGACCAGCUGUCUGGGUCCUGUGGUCCCACCAAGUUGGUACAAAAAAUCACCAGGCUCUUCUCCCCAUCUCCCUAUUUUUUCACAGGUAAGGAAACUGAGGCUUAGAGAAGUAAGACAACUUGCUCAAGUCAUGCAGGAGUGUGUGAUUUAACUCAGAAGCCAUGCCUUAGCCUCCACGUUACAUUGUCAAGGCUCAUCUUCACUCCCCAGGGAAAAAGACUUGAAAUAGAUGGAUAAGAGAAUCGGUGUGUUUCAUGCACGAGCCUGUGGGAGUUGGCAUUCUGAGAGCAGCAUUCUUUCUCCCAGAGAGAAUCUGAAGGUCUGGUGUGGACCCUCCCUGAGAAGCUGCUCUGUCUCGUGGCUGAAAGCCCGUCUGCUUCCAAGGUGUGAAAUCUGUCUUUACCUUGACUCUCUGCCUGAAAAAUAUGCGGGCUCGUGUAAGAUGGGGACCUUGAGCUGUGACGGGAGCAUCUUCAAGCCACAGAGCCCGGCUGUCUCACUUUCUAGUUAA